GGUCAAGUGAAGAAGCGCAUACGGUGGAUGCCUUGGCAGUCAGAGGCGAUGAAAGACGUGGUAGCCUGCGAUAAGCUUUGGGGAGUCGGCAAACAGACUGUGAUCCAGAGAUCUCUGAAUGGGGGAACCCACUCAGCAUAAGCUGAGUAUCUUGUACUGAAUACAUAGGUGCAAGAGGCGAACCAGGGGAACUGAAACAUCUAAGUACCCUGAGGAAAAGAAAUCAACCGAGAUUCCCUUAGUAGUGGCGAGCGAACGGGGACCAGCCCUUAAGUUGGUUUGAGAUUAGUGGAACGCUCUGGAAAGUGCGGCCAUAGUGGGUGAUAGCCCCGUACACGAAAAUCUCUUAUCAAUGAAAUCGAGUAGGACGGAGCACGAGAAACUUUGUCUGAACAUGGGGGGACCAUCCUCCAAGGCUAAAUACUACUGACUGACCGAUAGUGAACCAGUACCGUGAGGGAAAGGCGAAAAGAACCCCGGAGAGGGGAGUGAAAUAGAACCUGAAACCGUAUGCGUACAAGCAGUGGGAGCCUACUUUGUUAGGUGACUGCGUACCUUUUGUAUAAUGGGUCAGCGACUUAUAUUCAGUGGCGAGCUUAACCGAAUAGGGGAGGCGUAGCGAAAGCGAGUCUUAAUAGGGCGUUUAGUCGCUGGGUAUAGACCCGAAACCGGGCGAUCUAUCCAUGGGCAGGUUGAAGGUUAGGUAACACUGACUGGAGGACCGAACCGACUACCGUUGAAAAGUUAGCGGAUGACCUGUGGAUCGGAGUGAAAGGCUAAUCAAGCUCGGAGAUAGCUGGUUCUCCUCGAAAGCUAUUUAGGUAGCGCCUCAUGUAUCACUGUAGGGGGUAGAGCACUGUUUCGGCUAGGGGGUCAUCCCGACUUACCAAACCGAUGCAAACUCCGAAUACCUACAAGUGCCGAGCAUGGGAGACACACGGCGGGUGCUAACGUCCGUCGUGAAAAGGGAAACAACCCAGACCGUCAGCUAAGGUCCCAAAGUCAUGGUUAAGUGGGAAACGAUGUGGGAAGGCUUAGACAGCUAGGAGGUUGGCUUAGAAGCAGCCACCCUUUAAAGAAAGCGUAAUAGCUCACUAGUCGAGUCGGCCUGCGCGGAAGAUGUAACGGGGCUCAAACCAUGCACCGAAGCUACGGGUAUCACCAUUAGGUGAUGCGGUAGAGGAGCGUUCUGUAAGCCUGUGAAGGUGAGUUGAGAAGCUUGCUGGAGGUAUCAGAAGUGCGAAUGCUGACAUGAGUAACGACAAUGCGAGUGAAAAACUCGCACGCCGAAAGACCAAGGUUUCCUGCGCAACGUUAAUCGACGCAGGGUUAGUCGGUCCCUAAGGCGAGGCUGAAAAGCGUAGUCGAUGGAAAACAGGUUAAUAUUCCUGUACUUCCAGUUAUUGCGAUGGAGGGACGGAGAAGGCUAGGCCAGCUUGGCGUUGGUUGUCCAAGUUUAAGGUGGUAGGCUGAGAUCUUAGGCAAAUCCGGGAUCUCAAGGCCGAGAGCUGAUGACGAGUGCUCUUUAGAGCGCGAAGUGGUUGAUGCCAUGCUUCCAAGAAAAGCUCCUAAGCUUCAGAUAACUGGGAACCGUACCCCAAACCGACACAGGUGGUUAGGUAGAGAAUACCAAGGCGCUUGAGAGAACUCGGGUGAAGGAACUAGGCAAAAUGGCACCGUAACUUCGGGAGAAGGUGCGCCGGCGAGGGUGAAGGACUUGCUCCGUAAGCCCAUGCCGGUCGAAGAUACCAGGCCGCUGCGACUGUUUAUUAAAAACACAGCACUCUGCAAACACGAAAGUGGACGUAUAGGGUGUGACGCCUGCCCGGUGCCGGAAGGUUAAUUGAUGGGGUUAGCGCAAGCGAAGCUCUUGAUCGAAGCCCCGGUAAACGGCGGCCGUAACUAUAACGGUCCUAAGGUAGCGAAAUUCCUUGUCGGGUAAGUUCCGACCUGCACGAAUGGCGUAACGAUGGCGGCGCUGUCUCCACCCGAGACUCAGUGAAAUUGAAAUCGCUGUGAAGAUGCAGUGUAUCCGCGGCUAGACGGAAAGACCCCGUGAACCUUUACUAUAGCUUUGCACUGGACUUUGAAUUUGCUUGUGUAGGAUAGGUGGGAGGCUUUGAAGUGGGGACGCCAGUUCUCAUGGAGCCAUCCUUGAAAUACCACCCUGGCAACUUUGAGGUUCUAACUCAGGUCCGUUAUCCGGAUCGAGGACAGUGUAUGGUGGGUAGUUUGACUGGGGCGGUCUCCUCCCAAAGAGUAACGGAGGAGUACGAAGGUGCGCUCAGACCGGUCGGAAAUCGGUCGUAGAGUAUAAAGGCAAAAGCGCGCUUGACUGCGAGACAAACACGUCGAGCAGGUACGAAAGUAGGUCUUAGUGAUCCGGUGGUUCUGUAUGGAAGGGCCAUCGCUCAACGGAUAAAAGGUACUCCGGGGAUAACAGGCUGAUACCGCCCAAGAGUUCAUAUCGACGGCGGUGUUUGGCACCUCGAUGUCGGCUCAUCACAUCCUGGGGCUGAAGCCGGUCCCAAGGGUAUGGCUGUUCGCCAUUUAAAGUGGUACGCGAGCUGGGUUUAGAACGUCGUGAGACAGUUCGGUCCCUAUCUGCCGUGGACGUUUGAGAUUUGAGAGGGGCUGCUCCUAGUACGAGAGGACCGGAGUGGACGAACCUCUGGUGUUCCGGUUGUCACGCCAGUGGCAUUGCCGGGUAGCUAUGUUCGGAAGAGAUAACCGCUGAAAGCAUCUAAGCGGGAAACUUGCCUCAAGAUGAGAUCUCACUGGAACCUUGAGUUCCCUAAAGGGCCGUCGAAGACUACGACGUUGAUAGGUUGGGUGUGUAAGCGCUGUGAGGCGUUGAGCUAACCAAUACUAAUUGCCCGUGAGGCUUGACCAU
This 2893-nucleotide ribosomal RNA is filed under the name Pseudomonas putida. RNAcentral's name for it is "23S ribosomal RNA". It matches the Rfam family "Bacterial large subunit ribosomal RNA". Lineage: Bacteria; Pseudomonadati; Pseudomonadota; Gammaproteobacteria; Pseudomonadales; Pseudomonadaceae. The record is from RNAcentral.